This 490-nucleotide ribosomal RNA is filed under the name uncultured bacterium. Its description in RNAcentral is "partial 16S ribosomal RNA". It matches the Rfam family "Bacterial small subunit ribosomal RNA", at positions 30 to 507 of the family's 1533-position model. The record is from RNAcentral.
AUUGAACGCUGGCGGCAGGCCUAACACAUGCAAGUCGAACGGUAACAGGGAUCAGCUUGCUGAUUCGCUGACGAGUGGCGGACGGGUGAGUAAUGUCUGGGAAACUGCCUGAUGGAGGGGGAUAACUACUGGAAACGGUAGCUAAUACCGCAUAACGUCGCAAGACCAAAGAGGGGGACCUUCGGGCCUCUUGCCUUCGGAUGUGCCCAGAUGGGAUUAGCUAGUAGGUGGGGUAACGGCUCACCUAGGCGACGAUCCCUAGCUGGUAUGAGAGGAUGACCAGCCACACUGGAACUGAGACACGGUCAAGACUCCUACGGGAGGCAGCAGUGGGGAAUAUUGCACAAUGGGCGCAAGCCUGAUGCAGCCAUGCCGCGUGUAUGAAGAAGGCCUUCGGGUUGUAAAGUACUUUCAGCGGGGAGGAAGGGAGUAAAGUUAAUACCUUUGCUCAUUGACGUUACCCGCAGAAGAAGCACCGGCUAACUCCGUG